This 253-nucleotide ribosomal RNA is filed under the name uncultured bacterium. RNAcentral describes it as "partial 16S ribosomal RNA". It matches the Rfam family "Bacterial small subunit ribosomal RNA", at positions 524 to 776 of the family's 1533-position model. The record is from RNAcentral.
UACGGAGGGUGCAAGCGUUAUCCGGAUUUACUGGGUGUAAAGGGUUCGUAGGCGGUGUGGCAAGUCGGGAGUGAAAUCUCUGGGCUCAACCCAGAGUCUGCUUCCGAAACUGCUGUGCUUGAGUGUGGGAGAGGCGCGUGGAAUUGCAGGUGUAGCGGUGAAAUGCGUAGAUAUCUGCAGGAACACCCGUGGCGAAAGCGGCGCGCUGGACCACUACUGACGCUGAGGAACGAAAGCUAGGGGAGCAAACAGG